UCCGGAAUGACACCCUGUGUCUCGAACCCCCAAUAAUGGCUUCCGGUGCGACCAAACCCACUCUGAACCUCAUCAGCAAUGCAAACACCACCAGCCUUACGAACUGAUUCAUAUACCAACUUCAAGUAACCGGGAGCCAACUCAACUGCUCCUCCAACUCCCUGAAAAGUCUCGGCAAUAAAUCCUGCAACUUUUCCAGAUGUCCCAUAAUCGAUAUGAUCUUGUACUUCUUUGGCAUACCGUGCAGCAUCAGAACCAAAUACCCCACGAUACGGGUCGGGAUGCAUUACAUGGUGAAUUUCACCCUGAGGUAUCGGGUACUUCCAUGUAUUCAGCGCUGUCAACCCUAUCGUUCCAGCACUUCCGCCAUGAUACGCAUUUCUCAAUGCUAGCAUGCUAAGAUUACCCGUAUACAGCCGAGCCAUCAUCGUCGCCAGUUCAUUCGCCUCGGUCCCGGAAUUAACAAAAUAAACCACCUUCAGGUUCCCCGGCAUUUUAGCUGCCAGUGCUUCAGCAUACUCCGCAAUUGCAUGAUGAAGAUAUAUCGUAGUAGUAUGCUGGAGCAGCUUAGUUUGCUCGACGAUGGCGUCCACGACAUCCGGGUGGCAGUGCCCGCAGGACACCGUCACGAUCCCCGCAAAGGCGUCGAGGUACCGCUUCCCGGCCUCAUCGUACAGGUACUGCAUCCUCCCCUCCACGAUGUUGAGUGGCUUCUGGUAGUAGUAGAAGAGGGAAGGGCCGAGGAAGGUUUUGCGCUUGUGGAGGAUCUCGUCGGCGAGGAUGCCGUUGUAGGGGCGGGGCUGGUGGGAGAAGGGGGGAAGCGUUGGUGGAGAGGUGGAGAGCGCGCGUCGGAGCGGAGAGGAUGAUCGAAGAGCUCUCCGGAUGAGCAUGGCGGCGGCGGCGCCGGCGGCGGCGGCGCCGGCGGCGAGUUUUG
RNAcentral lists this unclassified non-coding RNA (934 nucleotides) under Hevea brasiliensis (rubber tree). The record is from RNAcentral. Lineage: Eukaryota; Viridiplantae; Streptophyta; Magnoliopsida; Malpighiales; Euphorbiaceae.